CUCGCCUGGUUUAUCAAAAACAUCGCCUUUUGAUUAUAUAGAAGGUCUAGCCUGCCCACUGAAGAUUAAAGGGCCGCGGUAUUUUGACCGUGCAAAGGUAGCAUAAUCAUUAGUCUUCUAAUUAAGGGCUGGGAUGAACGGCUGGAUGAGACACACGCUAUCUUUCGUGGGGUAUUUAAUUUAACUUCUUAGUGAAAAGGCUGAGAUGGGGCUGAGGGACGAGAAGACCCUAUAGAUCUUUAUAUUUGAAACUUAUUAUCUGUUUAGAAUAUUUAGUUAAUAUGUGUAAUGUAUUUUGUUGGGGUGACAUGGGGAUAAAGGAACUCCUCUUAAUAAAACACUUUUAAGUGAUUUCUUGAUCCAUAUUAAUGAUUAAAAGAACAAGUUACCUUAGGGAUAACAGCGUAAUUUCUUUGGAGAGUUCAUAUCGAUAAAGAAGAUUGCGACCUUCGAUGUUGGAUUAAGGGUAAUUCCUGGGAGCAGCAGCUCG
RNAcentral lists this ribosomal RNA (490 nucleotides) under Mirawara sp. BYU IGCEP093. RNAcentral's name for it is "partial 16S ribosomal RNA". It matches the Rfam family "Bacterial large subunit ribosomal RNA", at positions 1795 to 2565 of the family's 2925-position model. The record is from RNAcentral. Lineage: Eukaryota; Metazoa; Arthropoda; Insecta; Ephemeroptera; Ameletopsidae.